UACGAAGGGGGCUAGCGUUGCUCGGAAUCACUGGGCGUAAAGCGCAUGUAGGCGGAUCUUUAAGUCAGGGGUGAAAUCCCAAGGCUCAACCUUGGAACUGCCUUUGAUACUGGGGAUCUCGAGUCCGGAAGAGGUGAGUGGAACUGCGAGUGUAGAGGUGAAAUUCGUAGAUAUUCGCAAGAACACCAGUGGCGAAGGCGGCUCACUGGUCCGGUACUGACGCUGAGGUGCGAAAGCGUGGGGAGCAAACAGG
RNAcentral lists this ribosomal RNA (253 nucleotides) under uncultured bacterium. RNAcentral's name for it is "partial 16S ribosomal RNA". It matches the Rfam family "Bacterial small subunit ribosomal RNA", at positions 524 to 776 of the family's 1533-position model. The record is from RNAcentral.